RNAcentral lists this ribosomal RNA (497 nucleotides) under uncultured bacterium. RNAcentral's name for it is "partial 16S ribosomal RNA". It matches the Rfam family "Bacterial small subunit ribosomal RNA", at positions 28 to 507 of the family's 1533-position model. The record is from RNAcentral.
GAUGAACGCUGGCGGCGUGCCUAAUACAUGCAAGUCGAGCGAACAGACGAGGAGCUUGCUCCUCUGACGUUAGCGGCGGACGGGUGAGUAACACGUGGAUAACCUACCUAUAAGACUGGGAUAACUUCGGGAAACCGGAGCUAAUACCGGAUAACAUGUUGAACCGCAUGGUUCAACAGUGAAAGACGGUCUUGCUGUCACUUAUAGAUGGAUCCGCGCCGCAUUAGCUAGUUGGUAAGGUAACGGCUUACCAAGGCAACGAUGCGUAGCCGACCUGAGAGGGUGAUCGGCCACACUGGAACUGAGACACGGUCCAGACUCCUACGGGAGGCAGCAGUAGGGAAUCUUCCGCAAUGGGCGAAAGCCUGACGGAGCAACGCCGCGUGAGUGAAGAAGGUCUUCGGAUCGUAAAACUCUGUUAUUAGGGAAGAACAAGUGUGUAAGUAACUAUGCACGUCUUGACGGUACCUAAUCAGAAAGCCACGGCUAACUACGUG